CCCAGGAUGUUUUGCAAGCAAGGCAGAUACACACCGAUAAACGUGCCCAUUCGUGGAACCUUGACUUCCUUUCGCUUGCUGUCUUCAUCUGCUUCGUGUUCCACCACACCUUGAGUUACAUUCGUGUAGUUUGCUAGUUUAUUAAGAAGAGAUGACACCAUCGGAUUGCUAUCCAUUUCCUCCUCAAAGAGAGCCAUAUUUUUACCUUCGUACAUGUUUCCUCUGUCCAUCUCUGCACUGUUAAUAAAUGGACUACUUUCCCUGGAAAUACCAUCUCCGGAGCCCCGGUCCCUGUUGUCCUCUUCCUCCUCCUGUCGCCAUGCAUCCCGCUCCGCCGAGUCCCGCUCCCCGCCCUGUGCCUCUACCGGCACUACGGUGAAGUUGGUCGGCAUUAGCGCGCUGCCGAGCCGCACACGGAUCCUACAGCACAGUAGCAACUCCUCC
This 444-nucleotide long non-coding RNA is filed under the name Gallus gallus (chicken). The record is from RNAcentral. Lineage: Eukaryota; Metazoa; Chordata; Aves; Galliformes; Phasianidae.